ACUGGAUCAGCUCUAGGAGUAUAAGAUUGAAGAUUUUAAGUAUAAUUUCAGUG
RNAcentral lists this transfer RNA (53 nucleotides) under Oncicola luehei. Its description in RNAcentral is "tRNA-Phe". The record is from RNAcentral. Lineage: Eukaryota; Metazoa; Acanthocephala; Archiacanthocephala; Oligacanthorhynchida; Oligacanthorhynchidae.